RNA transcript from Theobroma cacao (cacao), 1409 nucleotides. RefSeq lists it as uncharacterized. NCBI's taxonomy places the organism in Eukaryota, Viridiplantae, Streptophyta, Magnoliopsida, Malvales, Malvaceae. The record is from RefSeq and is a predicted model, not a curated record.
GAAAAGAAAUCCAAUUACAAAGAUAAAAAGACUUGAACGCCCUUUAAAUUGGCUAACGCUAGUUGGAUCAAAAACAACUCCCAAGGAAUUGGAUGAAAUUGUUGUCCUGAAAAAAAUAAAAAUGAAGAAGUACGGUUUGCAGCUUAGGGUUCCACCGUCGCAGCAGAAAAAGCCGGUAACAAGACCGCCGCUCCCUCCUCCUCUUGGCUUUCGCGACGACGACGAUGAUGACGUGGAGAGAGAGAUUUCUCGGCAGGCUAGCAAGAACAAAUCUCUCAAGGAGAUAGAGGAGCAACAUAGGAAAGCGCUAGAGGAAGAUCCUUCGGUGUUUGACUAUGAUGGAGUUUACGAUGAGAUGAAAGAGAAGGUUGUUCGUCCCCGUGUUCAAGAUCGCGAAGAGCGACAGUCGAAAUAUAUUCAUAAUUUAAUUAAAAAGGCAGAGCAACGAAAGUGGGAGCAGGAGAUAGUAUAUGAGAGGAAACUCGUGAAAGAGAGAAGUAAAGAGGAUCACCUUUACGCAGACAAGGAUAAGUUUGUGACAAGUGCCUACAAGAAAAAACUUGCUGAGCAGGCAAAAUGGAUGGAGGAAGAGCGCUUACGUCAACUUCGAGAGGAGAAAGAUGAUGUUACCAAGAAGAGUGACCUGAGUGAUUUUUACUUCAACCUUGGUAAAAAUGUUGCAUUUGGGGCAAACGAGGUUGGACCAAGGAUGCCAGAAAAGCAUACUGAAUCAAGGAAACCUGAGAGGAAAGAUGAGAAAGAGAUAGAUGUUAUCAAAAGAGUUCAGCCAUUACCUAACUCAAAUGCUCCCGAGUCUUCCGGUGUGACUGAUAGGACUCAGGAUGAAACAAGUUCCAGAGAAAACUUUGAGUCCCAAGAUUCAAGGCCAAUUACUGUUGAUGUUCUUCCAGAGACUGCACUGCAAGAGACCUCUUCAGUGAAACAACCAUCAGUUGAUCAACCAAAACGUGACCAUCACAAAAGAGGUGAAGAUGCGGUUGCUGCAGCUAGGGAACGUUUUCUGGCACGCAAGAGGGCAAAAGAGCAAUGAUUGGCUACUUCUCUCCGGAGACGGAGUGACAAAUGGGGAGACUGAAAUCCUAAGAGACCUUUUGUUUAUUGUACAUUACAAAUCUACAAGAAGGUGGAAUAUAAUGGUUACAAAAUGAUGGUCUCAUCUGACGGGAUGGUGAUGGCUGGAGUAGUCGAUUUUGAUACUGUUUUUAACCUUAAUUCAACAUCGUGAAGCAACAUUGAGCAUGGUAAUUUUGUUACAUAGAACUGAAAAAAUUUUUUAGUCACGGAGAGCACUGAAUGUUUAGCCUUUGAUUCAAUCUAGGCCAAGGGUAAAAUGUUGUUAUCUCUCCCAUUCUUGUAUUCAAAGCAGUAAAGGAAAUUCCUUUUGUCCA